GAUGAACGCUAGCUACAGGCUUAACACAUGCAAGUCGCGGGGCAGCAUGGGGGUUGCUUGCAAUCCCCGAUGGCGACCGGCGCACGGGUGAGUAACGCGUAUCCAACCUGCCCUUCACCACGGGAUAACCCGGCGAAAGUCGGACUAAUACCGUAUGUUGUCCAUUGACGGCAUCCGAUUUGGACGAAAGGUUUGGCGGUGAAGGAUGGGGAUGCGUCCGAUUAGCUGGACGGCGGGGUGACGGCCCACCGGGGCGACGAUCGGUAGGGGUUCUGAGAGGAAGGUCCCCCACACUGGAACUGAGACACGGUCCAGACUCCUACGGGAGGCAGCAGUGAGGAAUAUUGGUCAAUGGGCGUAAGCCUGAACCAGCCAAGUAGCGUGCAGGAUGACGGCCCUAUGGGUUGUAAACUGCUUUUAUGCGGGGAUAAAGUGGCCCACGUGUGGGUUUUUGCGGGUACCGCAUGAAUAAGGACCGGCUAAUUCCGUG
RNAcentral lists this ribosomal RNA (490 nucleotides) under uncultured bacterium. RNAcentral's name for it is "partial 16S ribosomal RNA". It matches the Rfam family "Bacterial small subunit ribosomal RNA", at positions 28 to 507 of the family's 1533-position model. The record is from RNAcentral.